CGCUGCAGACAGAGAGCACAACACAUACUUGCCAGGGAGCGUCUCUGCCUGAUCCCGGCAGCUGGGCUCCGAGCACAGCACAUUUCUGCUUCCUGGGACAGUCCCAGGCCUGGAUGCCAAAGCCCAGAAUUCUCAGUCCCUGGGAGAGGCAGAAGGUGGCCGGCAGCCGAGGGCAGGAGAUGCAGAGCACAGCCAAUUACCUGUGGCACACGGACGACCUGCUGGGCCAGGGGGCCACUGCCAGUGUGUACAAGGCUCGGAACAAGAAAUCUGGGGAGCUGGUUGCUGUGAAGGUCUUCAACGCCGCCAGCUACCUGCGGCCCCGCGAGGUGCAGGUGAGGGAGUUUGAGGUCCUGCGGAAGCUGAAUCACCAGAACAUCGUCAAGCUCUUCGCGGUGGAGGAGACGGGGGCCAGCCGGCAGAAGGUGCUGGUGAUGGAGUACUGCUCCAGCGGGAGCCUGCUGACCGUGCUGGAGAGCCCUGAGAAUGCCUUCGGGCUGCCCGAGGAUGAGUUCCUGGUGGUGCUGCGCUGUGUGGUGGCCGGCAUGAACCACCUGCGGGAGCACGGCGUCGUCCACCGCGACAUCAAGCCCGGCAACAUCAUGCGCCUCCUCGGGGAGGAGGGGCAGAGCAUCUACAAGUUGACGGACUUCGGGGCCGCCCGCGAGCUGGACGACGACGAGCACUUCGUCUCGGUCUACGGGACGGAGGAGUACCUGCACCCCGACAUGUACGAGCGGGCCGUGCUUCGCAAGCCCCAGCAGAAGUCGUUCGGGGUGACCGUGGAUCUCUGGAGCAUCGGGGUGACCCUGUACCACGCAGCCACCGGCAGCCUGCCCUUCAUCCCCUUUGGGGGGCCGCGGCGCAACAAGGAGAUCAUGUACCGGAUCACCACGGAGAAGCCGUCCGGGGCCAUUGCAGGCACCCAGAGGCAGGAGAACGGGCCCCUGGAGUGGAGCUACGCCCUCCCCAUCACCUGCCAGCUGUCCAUGGGCCUGCAGAGCCAGCUGGUGCCCGUCCUGGCCAACAUCCUGGAGGUGGAGCCGGCCAAGUGCUGGGGCUUCGACCAGUUCUUCGCGGAGACCAGCGACAUCCUGCAGCGCGUCAUCGUCCACGUGUUCUCGCUGCCCCAGGCCGUCCUGCACCACGUCUACGUCCACGCCCACAACACGAUAGCCAUCUUCCUGGAGGCCGUGUACGAGCAGACCAGCGUGGCCCCCCAGAACCAGGAGUACCUAUUUGAGGGUCACCUCUGUGUCCUCGAGCCCAGCCUCUCAGCACAGCACAUCGCCCACACGACCGCAAGGAGCCCCCUGACGCUGUGUAGCGUGGCCACUGAGACCCCCAAGGGCCUGGCCUUUAAGGACCCUGCUCUGGACAUCACCAAGUUUGUGCCCAAAGUGGACCUGCAGGCAGAUUACAACACGGCCAAGGGUGUGUUAGGUGCCGGCUACCAGGCCCUGCGGCUGGCACGGGCCCUGUGGGCCGGGCAGGAGCUGAUGCUGCGGGGGCUGCACUGGUUCGUGGAGACGCUCCAGGCCACCUGCCGGCGGACACUGGAGGUCCUGCGGAUGGCCCUCCUCUUCCUCAGCAGCAGCCUGGGCACCGAGAGGUUCAGCCACAUGGCCGGGAUGCCCGAGGUCCAGGAGCUGAAGAGGGCGGCGGAGCUGAGGUCGCAGCUGCGGACUUUGGCCGAGGUCCUCUCCAUCUUCUCCCACAACGUCACGGAGAAGCAGACGAGCCUGAGCAGCCUGAGCUCGGAGCUGGCGAAGAGCCGGGAUCAGGUACAUGAGGACAGAAGCAUCCAGCAGAUUCAGUGCUGCCUGGACAAGAUGUACCUCAUCUACAAGCAGUUCAGGAAGGCCCGGAUGAGGCCAGGGCUGGGCUACAACGAGGAGCAGAUCCACAAGCUGGACAAGGUGAAUUUUAGCCAUUUAGCCAAGCGGCUCCUGCAGGUGUUCCAGGAGGAGUGUGUGCAGAAGUACCGGGCGUCGCUGGUCACGCACGGCGAGCGCAUGAGGGUGGUGCACGAGGCCAGGAGCCACCUGCGCCUGGUCGCCUGCUCCGUGGCUGCCUAUAGCACCGAAGCCCAGAAGGUGCAGGAGGGCCUCAGCAAGAUCCUCGACUGGCUGUCUCUCCAGCUCCUGCAGGACAGAGCAAAGGGGGCCCAGGUCCCCCCCACCCCCACGGCUCCUUAUUCCAGUUCUGCACCCAAGGACCUGGGUCUCCAGCUAAAGGACCUGGGUUUCCAGGAAGGGGUCGGUCAGGGCAACUUCGGCCUCAGGCACAGCGGCCGCUCUUGCCUCUGCCCUGGACAGCAUGGAGGAGCUCUGUAAGGAGAUGAAGCUGCUGGCCUCCGACCUCCAGGACAACAACUGCAUCAUCGAAAGGUUAAGUCGGGUCCAAUCGGCCCCUGAUGUCUGAGCUCCGUGGGUGCACAGGGCAGCCUGAAGCAUUAGAAUCAUGGGACCCAACGCAGGACUGUCCCUGUCCCAUCACCAGCCUACCUCCCUCCUGGCCGUCCGCUGGGAGAUGCCACAGCAUUACCUUCACUGCCUGUCUGCGGGCAGCACGCAGGCCCCGGGCACCACACAGCUGUCAGGACCCACCUGACACCCUACGUGGGCUCAGGCACAGCUCCUCCUUGGCCAGGCGCACGCUCCCCUGGCACCCACGGCUGAACAUUGCGGGGGCCCCGGGAGAGAGGCUCUGACAGCCCCCCUCCCCGGUUUACAGGGCACUGCUCCUCAGGGAACAGAAGAGGAGGCCCCACGGGGGUUCCCCAGGGUGCUGGGCCACGCGGCCUAAUCCCAGUCUUCCUUCCUCUUGUGGUGUUUCUUGUUUCUUGUUGAACAUGUAGCCCUCUCCCCUCUCCUCUGAUUCCUGAGGGUCACACACUCGGCCACAGGCAUCGCAGAGUCUGACUUGCCUUCUGCUCUGGGUCUGGCUGAGCCUUAGGGUGAGAGAGUGGGGGGUGGGGGCGCCAUGUCCAGGGACCUUCCCCUUCUCUCUCCCUCGGAGGCACCACCAGUUCUGGGAUGUCAGCCAGCUGGUCAGGAAUGGCCAUGCGAUUAGCACAGGCCUGUAAGCCCACAGCCCGAGGGGAGACAGGCCUGCGCCUUUAAGAAGUGCAAUAAACGUGCCUUCCUUUCUGUU
Molecule: RNA transcript, 3156 nt
Organism: Myotis daubentonii (Daubenton's bat)
Lineage: Eukaryota; Metazoa; Chordata; Mammalia; Chiroptera; Vespertilionidae
Gene: IKBKE
Gene name: inhibitor of nuclear factor kappa B kinase subunit epsilon
Exons: 22
Source: RefSeq, a predicted model, not a curated record